Molecule: ribosomal RNA, 492 nt
Filed under: uncultured bacterium
Lineage: Bacteria
Description: partial 16S ribosomal RNA
Rfam family: Bacterial small subunit ribosomal RNA
Source: RNAcentral
AGUGAACGCUGGCGGUAGGCCUAACACAUGCAAGUCGAACGGCAGCACAGUAAGAGCUUGCUCUUACGGGUGGCGAGUGGCGGACGGGUGAGGAAUACAUCGGAAUCUACUUUUUCGUGGGGGAUAACGUAGGGAAACUUACGCUAAUACCGCAUACGACCUACGGGUGAAAGCAGGGGAUCUUCGGACCUUGCGCGAUUGAAUGAGCCGAUGUCGGAUUAGCUAGUUGGCGGGGUAAAGGCCCACCAAGGCGACGAUCCGUAGCUGGUCUGAGAGGAUGAUCAGCCACACUGGAACUGAGACACGGUCCAGACUCCUACGGGAGGCAGCAGUGGGGAAUAUUGGACAAUGGGCGCAAGCCUGAUCCAGCCAUACCGCGUGGGUGAAGAAGGCCUUCGGGCUGUAAAGCCCUUUUGUUGGGAAAGAAAAGCAGCAGGUUAAUACCCCGCUGCUCUGACGGUACCCAAAGAAUAAGCACCGGCUAACUUCGUG